RNAcentral lists this long non-coding RNA (1409 nucleotides) under Mytilus galloprovincialis (Mediterranean mussel). The record is from RNAcentral. Lineage: Eukaryota; Metazoa; Mollusca; Bivalvia; Mytilida; Mytilidae.
UAGUUACAAUAAAUAUAUCAACUCUCAAAAAACUCUCUUAACAAGUGAAACUGCGAGCUACUGCUCACUGAUGAUACCCCCGCCGCAAGUGGAUAAUAUUAAUAGUGUAAAAAUAUGCAAGUGUUCGGUAAACAGGAAGUUGUCGAGUGAUGAAUCUGAAAACGCAUCACACGGCAUAGCUGACUUAUAUAAAUCCUGAAACCAAAUUUCAGAAAUCCUUGUAUUGUAGUUCCUGAGAAAAAUGUGACGAAAAUUUUCAACUUGGCUAUCAUGUGUAAAAUCAUACAAGUGUUCGGUAAACAGGAAGUUGUCGAGUGAUGAAUCUGAAAACGCAUCACACGGUAUAGCUGACUUAUAUAAAUCCUGAAACCAAAUUUCAGAAAUCCUUGUAUUGUAGUUCCUGAGAAAAAUGUGACGAAAAUUUUCAACUUGGCUAUAAUGUGUGUAAAAUCAGACAAGUGUUCGGUAAACAGGAAGUUGUCAAGUGAUGAAUCUGAAAACGCAUCACACGGUAUGGCUGACAUAUAUAAAUGUUGAUACCAAAUUACAGAAAGGGUGGAUGUGUAGUUCCUGAGAAAAAUGUGACGAAAGUUUCAUGGGACGGACUGACUGACGGACGGACUGACGGACGGACUGACGGACUGAUGGACGGACUGACGGACGGACUGACGGACAGACAGAGGUAAAACAGUAUACCCCCCCUUUUUUAAAGCGAGGGUAUAAUUACAUAAUUAUAAAUCAAUGCUUCAUGAUAUGAUAUCCAUGAAAUACUUUAAUAUUCUGAGAAAAAAAAAUAUACUGCAUUCAAAAUAAGUUUGUUCUACAGAAUGUAAAAUUAACUUUGGAACAUUUUUUCCAGCACUCAAAUGUAUAUUACAUCUCACAUACAUAAAUUACAGUUCUAACAGGGGAAGGGUAGAGUUAAAACCUAAAAUAGUCAUUAUUAAAGAAAAGUCUUCACAUUUGUUAUUUGAAAGUACAACAAUUUGUAUUACAAUGCCCAGUUACUUAGAUAAUAUUACAUAUUGUAGGUUUUUUUGCACUUACACUAAAACUGUUAUCCUUAUUGAUAUAUCAUGUUUCAAGAGCUUGUGCUCAAUGUUUGUAAAUCUAAUACAUGAUUAAUGCACAAAUUUGUUUACAUGAUUUUUAUCCGUAUAAUCAAUUCCCCCCCCCCCCUAUAUACAUUGUAUUACAAAUAUUAUUCUUUUUUUGUUUCUAGUGAACUCAUCAAUUCAAAGGAUUAAAAUUAUAUUACAAAAAUUCCUGGACAUAAAAACAUAAAGCUGAAAAAAAUUAUAAACUGGCUAUUCAUUUAAAAAUGAUUUGUGAAUAAAAUGCAAUCGUACCACAUCUCCUUAAUUUCCUGAUAUAUUGUUAACUGAUGUCUUUACAAGAAGAAUUAACAA